AUGCAUGAAAAUGGAGAAGUGAGGACCUACAGGUGGAAGAAUGAGCCGCCGAAAUCAGGCUACCUCUAUCGAGGAGCAAGACGACCUGCUGGGCUGUCUUGCUCGGGGACAACCACGAUACGAUGUGGAUCCAAGCUCGCUGUAGCAGACGAGAUCCACACCCAUGUCGCCUCGAAGGACGGCGACGACAACGGCACUGUCAAGAUCGACAAGCUCGCCUCCUCCAUUGUGCAGCUUCUCGUCGAGCCCUGCUACCCCUCCGCCGCCGUUGACCAGCAUAAGAGAUUGAGGAGGCAUACAUCGGGGAAAAACCAGGCGCCGUAG
This 324-nucleotide ribosomal RNA is filed under the name Triticum aestivum (bread wheat). RNAcentral describes it as "partial small subunit ribosomal RNA". The record is from RNAcentral. Lineage: Eukaryota; Viridiplantae; Streptophyta; Magnoliopsida; Poales; Poaceae.